Molecule: long non-coding RNA, 5876 nt
Filed under: Nicotiana tabacum (common tobacco)
Lineage: Eukaryota; Viridiplantae; Streptophyta; Magnoliopsida; Solanales; Solanaceae
Description: long non-coding RNA (NTAB_LNC011224)
Source: RNAcentral
GUCCCCUUGAAACCCUAACCCCUCCAGCGAGUCACUCCUGCAAGGCACUCUGUCAAGGCUCUAGUAUAUCUCUUCAACCUCACAGAGUCUAGGGAAAGUAAUAUUUUGGGAGCGGCAAAGAGUCAAGGUCUGGUUCUUUCAGGUUUCCCAUCUUGAAGGGUGUGCUGAAUGGUGCAAGAGUCACUUUCCUCUGAGAUCCAUGUAUCUGCUACUAGCUGAAGUGAGACCAUCAAAGUUCUCUGUGCUUGGGUAAGUUACAAACCUUGUUUUAUUAAGAUUUUAUUUUGUAAUUUAUCUCUAAAUGGGUGAAUAAAUUCUUUGGUUAAUAUCCAAUUAGGUACCCUAACUAUGUUGGUAGAAAAAAGAACUGGAAUUUCCUAAGUGUGUCAUCUGAUCCUGUUUAUGGUAUUUGCGAGCUUGUAUGCUUGAUUGAUUUUUCACUCUUGAGCUCUUGAAUUUCACUGUAUUAUGUCUGCUUUGUUAUUACAUAUUAUCCUUGUGCUAUUUCAAGAGAAGUUUUGAAGUAAAUGGGUAUAACUGUAGAUUUAAUUAAUGGCACUACCUAGGAGUGAAAUGUUUGUAGCGUAUUGAAUUGAGGUUUCAAAAAAUUUGGGGGAAAAUCUGCUCCAUAUUUGUUGAAGCAGUAUUAUAAUUUUUAGGCUCACAAGUGUUUGAAAGUAGUUCUCAAUGAAUUUCUUUGACUGUCGUAUACAAAUAAUGCUGCAAUUGAAGAAAGGUUGAGUGCAUAUUAGCAUGUUCGUUUGUACUUUAAGCUUAUUGUAUUGAUCAUUCUAUCUAAUCAUUCAUGAGACCGAAACUCAAAAAAUGAGAUUUCAGUAAAUGAGAGAUUCCACCUACUUAUAGUUCGCAGAAAAUAGCACCAGUAAAUUACUUCCUUUUUUCACUAUUAUGCAUUAAUCUUUAUAAAUAUAUCGUAUUUCUUGGCAUGCCAAAACUUAUAUUACUAGUGUGGUUUAUGAAGAGGCUACGAGAGAAGAAGAAAGUGAUGAAAAAGAGAAUGAAAUGACUAAUGAAUACUAUGAAGAUGGAUCUUCAGAUGCAGACAUAGGUGAUGGUGAAGGCUAGUAUUCCCCGAGAGGCAAUUUAUUUCCGAAAAUAAUACAGAGAGGAAAAGCUCUUGAGGUAUCAUGACCCUUUUUUUACUCUCUUUCUUGAGUUGUUAUAUUGGUGUUGAUUGGACUACAUGGAUGUAUGGAAAUAACCAUCUGAAAUGCAAGGUUAUUUCCAUAAAUUAAGUGAAAUACUUGCAAAAUGGUAGAUCUCAUGUCAAAAUGGAGUUUUUACUUUAAGAUAUCUCUGUGGCAUAUAAUAUAUCAAUAAUAAAAAUUGGAAAUUCUUUUAGAUUCACUGUAUAAUCAUUGUCACUAGGAACUUAGGAAGGUAGUUUUACUUCUACUUAUAAUGUUUAUCUACAGGGUGCAUUUAUAUUAAAGUUCAUACAAUUUGAGUUCCUAUAUCAACCUAGAAAGCAAAAAAAAAAAAAAAAAAAAAUUAAAAAAAAAAAGUCAAAUACAAUAUGAUUAGUCACGGACAUAUUGACAUGGUAAACUUUGAGAAAUGAUACAACAAAGGAAUGACACAUAUCAAUUUCGUAGCAUAGAGAAUCAUAAAUAUAUCAUACAUUGAAAUGUUGAAAUAGAAAUGUGGAACAUAUAAUAUAAAGAAAUGUGAUGAUAGCGAAAUAGUCAAGGCACGCACAAAGCCUAGAUGCCACUACUAGGAAAAAAGAAAAAAAAUGUUGAGACAGAAAAGAUAGGAUAAUCUCAUGCAUAAAAAUUAAUAGGAAGUAUCUUUUUUGGUAGUAAUAAAUUUUUUGAUCUAUUCAAACAAGACAAUUAUCUUCUCCAUCCACCAAAGCAAUCAUGUUCAGUUCCUGCAACAAUGCUUCCAAUGCAUCAAUCUCCCAAUGCCUCUUAAACAUUAGCUACCAAAUACUUUCACUGUUAAGCUUUCAACUGACUUGCCUCUAAAUCUUCGUGACAUUAAUUAAGAUAAAUAUUUUAUGAAAUUGGAUCUACUUUACUAAAGAGCAUUCUUCGAGACAUGUUUCAAGUGACAAUAAGUUGUUUUUUUGAUUGUGCCAAUAACUGUGUAGUUGGACUUGUUUUUUCUUUUUCCAGAUACAUUUUUAAUGUGUGAAUGAAAGUUGUGCGGUUUAGUUAAUUAUAUAGAAGUCCUUUAUAUAUGGUAAUCACUUAUCCUCUUGUAAAUUGAAGCGAUGUCGUUUCUAUUCUUGUUGUUCCUAUGGUAGCAAAGUAAUAAAUAAUGGUCCUUGAAGUGCCUGCAAAACUGAUUAUUGUCCCAACUGAAAGUUGAGUUCCCAUGGUAAAACUAUAAUGAGUCUUUAGAUAUUGUAUCAUUGCGUAUGUUUAAUUUUAGGUACAGAAAUAUCUGCAUCAAGUCUUUGAUUCCAUAUAGAAAAUAAAGCUUGCAGUGAUAACAUGGCCAACUCAAUUUACAUGCAGCUUUUAAUUUGAAGGAGGCUAAUUAGUUUUAAACUAUUUUUCUCUUGUAGGAAUGUCAAAGCUUCAGCCCAAAACUUGCAUAUAAUCCCUAUAAUGAGCCCAACAUUGAAGUUUUCAUGUUGUAAAAGUAUAUUUAUCCAUUUUGAUGAAACUAUUAUUUUUUGUCAGGUUAAUAUAUUUUUAAAUGUUGUCUUAUUCCAACACUUAGUUCAUCUCUAGGACUGCUUUGAAUUUGCAGUUCUGGAGUGCUUUGAAUUUGCAGUUGCGAAGUUUUAUUGACUUCCUUGAUCUGAAUUGCAUUGUUAAACAUUACAACACCAUUUUGAUUGCAGUCAAUAAUCUUCUUUAACUGGCCAUAUGUAGGGCCUUUAAUUCAUCUCUGGGUUGGAGUUGGAAAAUUUGAUUUAAGUUAUUUUUCGUUAUAGAACUAGCAUAUUUAGGGAUGGAUUUCCAAUCAGUGAUCUCUCUUCUAACUGGCCAUAUGUAGAUCCUUUACUUCAUCUCUGGGACAACUUUGAAUUUGCAAAGCUUUAUUGACUUAUUUGAGCUGGAUUGCACUUAAAGUUUCAAGGUACUACUUAGAUUAUAUACUGGAUGUUAAAUUCUUUUAAAAAAUUUACUAAAUCAUUUAUUUUCAUCUUUUAUAGGUGUGACGACCCGGCCGGUCGUCUUAAGAAUUAGUGCCCCGAUCCCCUAUUAACUACUUUCUCUAAGUUUAUUUAUGCUAUUUUGUUUUAGUGGAAUGUUCGGUUUUAAGUUUCGGAGAGUUUUGGGACACUUAGUCCCUAAAUGAGAGUUUAAGUGUUGGAAAGUUAACCGUAGUCGGAACACUAUGAAGACGGCCUCAGAAUUGAAAUUCGAUGGUUCCGUUAGCUCCGCUAGGUGAUUUCGGGCUUAGGGGCGUAUUCGGAUUGUGUUUUGGAGGUUAGUAGCAAAUUUAGGCUUGAAAUGCCGAAAGUUGAACUUUUGAAGUUUCCGGUUCGAUAGUGAGAUUUUGAUUCGAGGGUCAAAAUGGAAUUUCGAGAGUUGCAGUAGUUUUGUUAUAUCAUUUGGGAUGUGUGUGCAAAAUUUCAGGUCAUUCAGAGGUGGUUUGGUUGAGUUUUUAUCAAAAGCGUGAUUCGGAUGAUUUUGGAAGACUUAGGCAUGAAUCCGAUGUGUUUUGGUUGAAUUGAUGUUGUUUGAGGUGUUUUGAAUAUUCGUACAAGUUUGAAUAAGGUUUUAGGAUAUGUUGGUACCUUUGGUUGAGGUCCCAGGGACCUCGGGUGAAUUUUGGAUGCUCAACGGAUCUUUUUAAGUUGUUAAAAAGUUGCAUAUUUUGUUCAGCUUUUGUAGAGGAAUUUUACCCUUCGAGUUCGCGAGUGGAACCUCGCGUUCGCAAAGAGUCAUUUGAGGAAGUCAAAUAUUAAGCCUUCGCGUUCACUAUGGGAUAUCCGCGUUCGUGAAGGGCUGGAUACUUGUGAACCGCGUUCGCGAUGAGAGGAACGCGUUCGCGAAGGUUAGACGGGUAAAGCAUUGCGUUCGCGAGGGCCUUGUCGCGUUCUCUUAAGAGAACUUUUUGUCAACGUCAUUUUUGUGCUUCGCGAACGCGAGGCUUUGACCGCGUUCGCCAAGAAGGAAUUAAAUGCCUGGGCAGUAUGUUUUAAAAGGUUUAUUUCGCGAAUUUUAACCUAGGUUCCUCCAUUGUUAGGCGAUUUUGAAGCUUUUUGAAGAGGGUUGAAGAGGGAUUCAAGUGGAAUCACUUGGAGGUAAUAUUUUUGACUUCAUAACUCAUUUUUAUGUGAUUAAAGACCUAAUUAGUGGUGUAAAAUUUCGGAAAAAAUGGGUAAUUAGGGCUUAAGUUUAAGAGGCCUUUAAAUGAGGAUUUGAGGGGUCAUUUGGACUCCGAUUUUAGUGUUCUUGUUAUGUAUAGACUCGUGAGAGUACGAGGUUUCUGAAAAUAUAAAUUUCAUCCAAAUCCGAGACGUAGCUCCGAGGGGCAUNNNNNNNNNNNNNNNNNNNNNNNNNGAAAAUAUAAAUUUCACCCAAAUCCGAGACGUAGCUCCGAGGGGCAUUUUGGUCAUUUUAUACAAUUUCGCGUAUUAGCUUAUAAUUUAAUUGUAGAAUCAAUUAAUUGAAGUGUUAUUUACAUUACGCAAAUGAAUUGAAUAGAUUUGGGUCAUUUGGAGUCGAGUACUCGUGGCAAAGACAUGGUGUCAGGUUGAUUUUGAGCCGGUUCGAGGUAAGUGGCUUGUCUAACCUUGUGUGGGGGAUCUUCCCCUUAGGAUUGAUAUAUUUGGUAAUUGAAAAGCCUUGUACAUGAAGUGACGAAUGUGUACUUGUGCAAAUUGUUGGAAAUUCGGUUUUCUUUAAGUACUUAUUAGUAUGUUCCUUCUCCUACUUUUAUUACUUGUACUAUUAAGCCCGUUAUUAGCUUAGGAAAACAUGUCUAAGUGAUUUAAUUGCUUUAAUUGUUCAAUCUAUUUACCUGAACUCUGUGCAACAUGCUAGCCUAGAAUUAUUUGUUGCCUUAAUAUGAAAUUUCCUUUCUCUGAAUAUUUUAUUGUUGCUGCUGUGUAUUUACAUUGGGACUAAGGAUGUGGGAUUUCGGUAGCUCCCCCUUGUCUGUUUACUUUGGGACUGCGGUUUAGAUUCCCGAUAGAUCCCCUGCACAUUUACUUUGGGAUUGCGGGUUAGAUUCCUGGUAGAUCCCCCUGUACAGUUAUAUGGAACUACGGGACUGCACCCGGUAGGUUCCCCCAGUACUGGGUAUUUAUAUUGGGGACUACAGAUCGGGAUUCCGGUAGAUCCCCGUGCACUGAUAGGUGGAUUACGGGACGGGAUCCCGGGAGAUCCUUCAGAUAUAUAUGAUGGACUACGGGAUGGUAUUCCGGGAGAUCCACUGGACAGUUGUAAUUAGGACUACAGGACGGUAUCCUGGAAGAUGCUCGAUUGUUAUCUCUAUGUUGAGCUGUAUUUCUUUUCGUGGCUUGUUUUGUCUCUGUUCUAAUUGUUGUUGUUCUGUCAAUUCUAUGUUAUUUCUUACUGUUGCACUUAUUUAUACUGUUUUAUUCCACACUGUUAACCCUUAUAUUGUAUUUAACCUCAGUAGGGCCCUGACCUUCCUCGUCAUUACCCGAUUGAGAUUAGGCUUGGCACUUACUGAAUACCGUUGUGGUGUACUCAUGCCCCUUCUGCACAUGUUUUUCAUGUGCAGUUCCAGGUACUUCUACUCAGGCCUACCAUCCUUGAGGGAGGCGACUACUUAGAGAAGUCGAGGUACAUUUGCCGUGUCCGCAGACCGAGGAGUCCCUUUCUAUUCUUGCCUUUUAGUAUUUAGCCCUUCUGUACAUUCUGUUCUUAUUAGACAAAUUCCGGAGUUAGAGCUAUGUAUUAUUUCUUUUUCUUAGCUUG